Molecule: ribosomal RNA, 463 nt
Filed under: uncultured bacterium
Lineage: Bacteria
Description: bacterial SSU rRNA
Rfam family: Bacterial small subunit ribosomal RNA
Source: RNAcentral
GAGGAACGCUGGCGGCGUGCUUUAACACAUGCAAGUCGAACGAUGAAGCCGUCUUCGGGGGUGGAUUAGUGGCGAACGGGUGAGUAACACGUGAGUAACCUGCCCCCUUCUUUGGGAUAACUGUCGGAAACGGCGGCUAAUACCGAAUAUUCAUAUGCUGUCGCAUUGGUGGUGUGUGGAAAGAUUUUUUGGUAGGGGAUGGGCUCGCGGCCUAUCAGCUUGUUGGUGAGGUAGUGGCUCACCAAGGCUUUGACGGGUAGCCGGCCUGAGAGGGCGACCGGCCACACUGGGACUGAGAUACGGCCCAGACUCCUACGGGAGGCAGCAGUGGGGAAUAUUGCACAAUGGGCGAAAGCCUGAUGCAGCGACGCCGUGUGCGGGAUGAAGGCCUUCGGGUUGUAAACCGCUUUCAACUGUGACGAAUUUGACGGUAGCAGUAGAAGAAGCACCGGCUAACUACGUG